Molecule: transfer RNA, 73 nt
Filed under: Mycobacterium tuberculosis
Lineage: Bacteria; Bacillati; Actinomycetota; Actinomycetes; Mycobacteriales; Mycobacteriaceae
Description: tRNA-Leu(gag)
Rfam family: tRNA
About the family: Transfer RNA (tRNA) molecules are approximately 80 nucleotides in length. Their secondary structure includes four short double-helical elements and three loops (D, anti-codon, and T loops). Further hydrogen bonds mediate the characteristic L-shaped molecular structure. tRNAs have two regions of fundamental functional importance: the anti-codon, which is responsible for specific mRNA codon recognition, and the 3' end, to which the tRNAs corresponding amino acid is attached (by aminoacyl-tRNA synthetases). tRNAs cope with the degeneracy of the genetic code in two manners: having more than one tRNA (with a specific anti-codon) for a particular amino acid; and 'wobble' base-pairing, i.e. permitting non-standard base-pairing at the 3rd anti-codon position.
Source: RNAcentral
GCCUCCGUAGUCCAACGGUAGAGACAGCGGCAUGAGGUGCCGUGUGUGGGGGUUCGAAUCCCUCCGGAGGUAC